GGUUAAGCGACUAAGCGUACACGGUGGAUGCCCUGGCAGUCAGAGGCGAUGAAGGACGUGCUAAUCUGCGAUAAGCGUCGGUAAGGUGAUAUGAACCGUUAUAACCGGCGAUUUCCGAAUGGGGAAACCCAGUGUGUUUCGACACACUAUCAUUAACUGAAUCCAUAGGUUAAUGAGGCGAACCGGGGGAACUGAAACAUCUAAGUACCCCGAGGAAAAGAAAUCAACCGAGAUUCCCCCAGUAGCGGCGAGCGAACGGGGAGCAGCCCAGAGCCUGAAUCAGUGUGUGUGUUAGUGGAAGCGUCUGGAAAGGCGCGCGAUACAGGGUGACAGCCCCGUACACAAAAAUGCACAUACUGUGAGCUCGAUGAGUAGGGCGGGACACGUGGUAUCCUGUCUGAAUAUGGGGGGACCAUCCUCCAAGGCUAAAUACUCCUGACUGACCGAUAGUGAACCAGUACCGUGAGGGAAAGGCGAAAAGAACCCCGGCGAGGGGAGUGAAAAAGAACCUGAAACCGUGUACGUACAAGCAGUGGGAGCACGCUUCGGCGUGUGACUGCGUACCUUUUGUAUAAUGGGUCAGCGACUUAUAUUCUGUAGCAAGGUUAACCGAAUAGGGGAGCCGAAGGGAAACCGAGUCUUAACUGGGCGUUAAGUUGCAGGGUAUAGACCCGAAACCCGGUGAUCUAGCCAUGGGCAGGUUGAAGGUUGGGUAACACUAACUGGAGGACCGAACCGACUAAUGUUGAAAAAUUAGCGGAUGACUUGUGGCUGGGGGUGAAAGGCCAAUCAAACCGGGAGAUAGCUGGUUCUCCCCGAAAGCUAUUUAGGUAGCGCCUCGUGAAUUCAUCUCCGGGGGUAGAGCACUGUUUCGGCAAGGGGGUCAUCCCGACUUACCAACCCGAUGCAAACUGCGAAUACCGGAGAAUGUUAUCACGGGAGACACACGGCGGGUGCUAACGUCCGUCGUGAAGAGGGAAACAACCCAGACCGCCAGCUAAGGUCCCAAAGUCAUGGUUAAGUGGGAAACGAUGUGGGAAGGCCCAGACAGCCAGGAUGUUGGCUUAGAAGCAGCCAUCAUUUAAAGAAAGCGUAAUAGCUCACUGGUCGAGUCGGCCUGCGCGGAAGAUGUAACGGGGCUAAACCAUGCACCGAAGCUGCGGCAGCGACACUAUGUGUUGUUGGGUAGGGGAGCGUUCUGUAAGCCUGUGAAGGUGUGCUGUGAGGCAUGCUGGAGGUAUCAGAAGUGCGAAUGCUGACAUAAGUAACGAUAAAGCGGGUGAAAAGCCCGCUCGCCGGAAGACCAAGGGUUCCUGUCCAACGUUAAUCGGGGCAGGGUGAGUCGACCCCUAAGGCGAGGCCGAAAGGCGUAGUCGAUGGGAAACAGGUUAAUAUUCCUGUACUUGGUGUUACUGCGAAGGGGGGACGGAGAAGGCUAUGUUGGCCGGGCGACGGUUGUCCCGGUUUAAGCGUGUAGGCUGGUUUUCCAGGCAAAUCCGGAAAAUCAAGGCUGAGGCGUGAUGACGAGGCACUACGGUGCUGAAGCAACAAAUGCCCUGCUUCCAGGAAAAGCCUCUAAGCAUCAGGUAACAUUAAAUCGUACCCCAAACCGACACAGGUGGUCAGGUAGAGAAUACCAAGGCGCUUGAGAGAACUCGGGUGAAGGAACUAGGCAAAAUGGUGCCGUAACUUCGGGAGAAGGCACGCUGAUAUGUAGGUGAAGUCCCUCGCGGAUGGAGCUGAAAUCAGUCGAAGAUACCAGCUGGCUGCAACUGUUUAUUAAAAACACAGCACUGUGCAAACACGAAAGUGGACGUAUACGGUGUGACGCCUGCCCGGUGCCGGAAGGUUAAUUGAUGGGGUUAGCGGUAACGCGAAGCUCUUGAUCGAAGCCCCGGUAAACGGCGGCCGUAACUAUAACGGUCCUAAGGUAGCGAAAUUCCUUGUCGGGUAAGUUCCGACCUGCACGAAUGGCGUAAUGAUGGCCAGGCUGUCUCCACCCGAGACUCAGUGAAAUUGAACUCGCUGUGAAGAUGCAGUGUACCCGCGGCAAGACGGAAAGACCCCGUGAACCUUUACUAUAGCUUGACACUGAACAUUGAGCCUUGAUGUGUAGGAUAGGUGGGAGGCUUUGAAGUGUGGACGCCAGUCUGCAUGGAGCCGACCUUGAAAUACCACCCUUUAAUGUUUGAUGUUCUAACGUUGACCCGUGAUCCGGGUUGCGGACAGUGUCUGGUGGGUAGUUUGACUGGGGCGGUCUCCUCCUAAAGAGUAACGGAGGAGCACGAAGGUUGGCUAAUCCUGGUCGGACAUCAGGAGGUUAGUGCAAUGGCAUAAGCCAGCUUGACUGCGAGCGUGACGGCGCGAGCAGGUGCGAAAGCAGGUCAUAGUGAUCCGGUGGUUCUGAAUGGAAGGGCCAUCGCUCAACGGAUAAAAGGUACUCCGGGGAUAACAGGCUGAUACCGCCCAAGAGUUCAUAUCGACGGCGGUGUUUGGCACCUCGAUGUCGGCUCAUCACAUCCUGGGGCUGAAGUAGGUCCCAAGGGUAUGGCUGUUCGCCAUUUAAAGUGGUACGCGAGCUGGGUUUAGAACGUCGUGAGACAGUUCGGUCCCUAUCUGCCGUGGGCGCUGGAGAACUGAGGGGGGCUGCUCCUAGUACGAGAGGACCGGAGUGGACGCAUCACUGGUGUUCGGGUUGUCAUGCCAAUGGCACUGCCCGGUAGCUAAAUGCGGAAGAGAUAAGUGCUGAAAGCAUCUAAGCACGAAACUUGCCCCGAGAUGAGUUCUCCCUGACUCCUUGAGAGUCCUGAAGGAACGUUGAAGACGACGACGUU
This 2834-nucleotide ribosomal RNA is filed under the name Escherichia coli. Its description in RNAcentral is "partial 23S ribosomal RNA". It matches the Rfam family "Bacterial large subunit ribosomal RNA". The record is from RNAcentral. Lineage: Bacteria; Pseudomonadati; Pseudomonadota; Gammaproteobacteria; Enterobacterales; Enterobacteriaceae.